CACGUAGGGCGCGAGCGUUGUCCGGAAUUAUUGGGCGUAAAGAGCUCGUAGGCGGCCUGUUGCGUCCGCUGUGAAAGCCCGGGGCUUAACCCCGGGUCGGCAGUGGAUACGGGCAGGCUAGAGGUAGGUAGGGGAGAAUGGAAUUCCCGGUGUAGCGGUGAAAUGCGCAGAUAUCGGGAGGAACACUGGUGGCGAAGGCGGUUCUCUGGGCCUUACCUGACGCUGAGGAGCGAAAGCGUGGGGAGCGAACAGG
This 253-nucleotide ribosomal RNA is filed under the name uncultured bacterium. Its description in RNAcentral is "partial 16S ribosomal RNA". It matches the Rfam family "Bacterial small subunit ribosomal RNA", at positions 524 to 776 of the family's 1533-position model. The record is from RNAcentral.